AUUCAUCUGCGUACCAAACAUCAAUAAAGCAAAAUGUCUGUUCUUAUCAGCUUAAUAUCUGAUACGGGUCCUAUUUGGACCCAAGAUAUUAAACUUAUUUUUGGAAUGGGGCGGAGUGCUUGAAGCUUGCUUCACCUCCGCCACGGGUUGGCCCGGUAUUGCACUAUCUCCGGGAUCGGCCCACUCACC
RNAcentral lists this small nuclear RNA (189 nucleotides) under Rhipicephalus sanguineus (brown dog tick). RNAcentral's name for it is "U2 spliceosomal RNA". It matches the Rfam family "U2 spliceosomal RNA". From Rfam's summary of the family: U2 is a small nuclear RNA (snRNA) component of the spliceosome (involved in pre-mRNA splicing). Lineage: Eukaryota; Metazoa; Arthropoda; Arachnida; Ixodida; Ixodidae. The record is from Rfam by way of RNAcentral.